GAUGAACGCUGGCGGCGUGCCUAAUACAUGCAAGUCGAGCGAACAGACGAGGAGCUUGCUCCUCUGACGUUAGCGGCGGACGGGUGAGUAACACGUGGAUAACCUACCUAUAAGACUGGGAUAACUUCGGGAAACCGGAGCUAAUACCGGAUAACAUGUUGAACCGCAUGGUUCAAUAGUGAAAGACGGUCUUGCUGUCACUUAUAGAUGGAUCCGCGCCGCAUUAGCUAGUUGGUAAGGUAACGGCUUACCAAGGCAACGAUGCGUAGCCGACCUGAGAGGGUGAUCGGCCACACUGGAACUGAGACACGGUCCAGACUCCUACGGGAGGCAGCAGUAGGGAAUCUUCCGCAAUGGGCGAAAUCUUGACGGAGCAACGCCGCGUGAGUGAAGAAGGUCUUCGGAUCGUAAAACUCUGUUAUUAGGGAAGAACAAAUGUGUAAGUAACUAUGCACGUCUUGACGGUACCUAAUCAGAAAGCCACGGCUAACUACGUG
Molecule: ribosomal RNA, 497 nt
Filed under: uncultured bacterium
Lineage: Bacteria
Description: partial 16S ribosomal RNA
Rfam family: Bacterial small subunit ribosomal RNA
Source: RNAcentral